UAAGGAAUAUUGGUCAAUGGACGCAAGUCUGAACCAGCCAUGCCGCGUGAAGGAUGAAGGUCCUCUGGAUUGUAAACUUCUUUUAUCUGGGACGAAAACGGGAUUUUUAUCUCAAUUGACGGUACCAGAGGAAUAAGCACCGGCCAACUCCGUGCCAGCAGCCGCGGUAAUACGGAGGGUGCGAGCGUUAUCCGCACUUACUGGGUUCAAAGGGUGCGUAGGUGGGCUUAUAAGUCAGUGGUGAAAUCUCCGAGCUUAACUUGGAAACUGCCGUUGAUACUAUCGGUCGUGAAUUAUCUGGAGGUAAGCGGAAUAUGUCAUGUAGCGGUGAAAUGAUUAGAUAUGACAUAGAACACCAAUUGCGAAGGCAGCUGACUACAUAUAAAUUGACGCUG
RNAcentral lists this ribosomal RNA (395 nucleotides) under uncultured bacterium. RNAcentral describes it as "bacterial SSU rRNA". It matches the Rfam family "Bacterial small subunit ribosomal RNA", at positions 355 to 748 of the family's 1533-position model. The record is from RNAcentral.